Molecule: microRNA, 23 nt
Filed under: Ascaris suum (pig roundworm)
Lineage: Eukaryota; Metazoa; Nematoda; Chromadorea; Rhabditida; Ascarididae
Description: asu-miR-250-3p
Gene: asu-miR-250-3p
Source: miRBase by way of RNAcentral
AAUCACAGCCAAACUGUUGGUUA